UGGGGAAUCUUGCACAAUGGAGGAAACUCUGAUGCAGCGACGCCGCGUGAGCGAUGAAGCCCUUCGGGGUGUAAAGCUCUUUCGACGGGAACGAUAAUGACGGUACCCGGAGAAGAAGCUGCGGCUAACUACGUGCCAGCAGCCGCGGUAAUACGUAGGCAGCGAGCGUUGUUCGGAAUUACUGGGCGUAAAGAGUGUGUAGGCGGUGCUCUAAGUUCGGUGUGAAAUCUCCUGGCUUAACUGGGAGGGUGCGCCGGAAACUGGGGUGCUCGAGCGUGGGAGAGGAAAGCGGAAUUCCUGGUGUAGCGGUGAAAUGCGUAGAUAUCAGGAGGAACACCUGUGGUGUAGACAGCUUUCUGGACCAUUGCUGACGCUGAGACACGAAAGCGUGGGUAGCAAACA
RNAcentral lists this ribosomal RNA (402 nucleotides) under uncultured Bryobacter sp. RNAcentral describes it as "bacterial SSU rRNA". It matches the Rfam family "Bacterial small subunit ribosomal RNA", at positions 355 to 774 of the family's 1533-position model. Lineage: Bacteria; Pseudomonadati; Acidobacteriota; Terriglobia; Bryobacterales; Bryobacteraceae. The record is from RNAcentral.